CUUCGGGAGCGCGAACACAGGUGCUGCAUGGUUGUCGUCAGCUCGUGCCGUGAGGUGUCGGCUUAAGUGCCAUAACGAGCGCAACCCUCGUGGUCAGUUACUAACAGGUUAAGCUGAGGACUCUGGCCAGACUGCCAUCGUAAGAUGUGAGGAAGGUGGGGAUGACGUCAAAUCAGCACGGCCCUUACGUCCGGGGCUACACACGUGUUACAAUGGGAGGUACAGAAGGCAGCUACCCGGCGACGGGAUGCCAAUCCCCAAAACCUCUCUCAGUUCGGACUGGAGUCUGCAACCCGACUCCACGAAGCUGGAUUCGCUAGUAAUCGCGGUCGACGCGGCCG
Molecule: ribosomal RNA, 341 nt
Filed under: uncultured bacterium
Lineage: Bacteria
Description: bacterial SSU rRNA
Rfam family: Bacterial small subunit ribosomal RNA
Source: RNAcentral